Molecule: ribosomal RNA, 204 nt
Filed under: uncultured bacterium
Lineage: Bacteria
Description: partial 16S ribosomal RNA
Rfam family: Bacterial small subunit ribosomal RNA
Source: RNAcentral
UAGGGAAUCUUCCACAAUGGACGCAAGUCUGAUGAAGCAACGCCGCGUGAGUGAAGAAGGCUUUCGGGUCGUAAAACUCUGUUAUUGAAGAAGAACGUGUGUGACAGUAACUGGUCAUGCAGUGACGGUAUUCAAUCAGAAAGUCACGGCUAACUACGUGCCAGCAGCCGCGGUAAUACGUAGGUGGCAAGCGUUGUCCGGAUU